CGGACGGGUGAGUAACACGUGGAUAACUUACCUAUAAGACUGGGAUAACUUCGGGAAACCGGAGCUAAUACCGGAUAAUAUAUUGAACCGCAUGGUUCAAUAGUGAAAGACGGUUUUGCUGUCACUUAUAGAUGGAUCCGCGCCGCAUUAGCUAGUUGGUAAGGUAACGGCUUACCAAGGCAACGAUGCGUAGCCGACCUGAGAGGGUGAUCGGCCACACUGGAACUGAGACACGGUCCGAGACUCCUACGGGAGGCAGCAGCG
This 264-nucleotide ribosomal RNA is filed under the name uncultured Staphylococcus sp. RNAcentral's name for it is "partial 16S ribosomal RNA". It matches the Rfam family "Bacterial small subunit ribosomal RNA", at positions 99 to 356 of the family's 1533-position model. Lineage: Bacteria; Bacillati; Bacillota; Bacilli; Caryophanales; Staphylococcaceae. The record is from RNAcentral.